UACGGGGGGGGCAAGCGUUGUUCGGAAUUACUGGGCGUAAAGGGCUCGUAGGCGGCCAACUAAGUCGGAUGUGAAAUCCCCAGGCUUAACCUGGGAACUGCAUCCGAUACUGGAUGGCUUGAAUCCGGGAGAGGGAUGCAGAAUUCCAGGUGUAGCGGUGAAAUGCGCAGAUAUCAGGAGGAACACCGGUGGCGAAGGCGGAUCUCUGGGCCGAUACUGACGCUGAGGAGCGAAAGCGUGGGGAGCGAACAGG
RNAcentral lists this ribosomal RNA (253 nucleotides) under uncultured bacterium. RNAcentral's name for it is "partial 16S ribosomal RNA". It matches the Rfam family "Bacterial small subunit ribosomal RNA", at positions 524 to 776 of the family's 1533-position model. The record is from RNAcentral.